Molecule: ribosomal RNA, 506 nt
Filed under: uncultured bacterium
Lineage: Bacteria
Description: partial 16S ribosomal RNA
Rfam family: Bacterial small subunit ribosomal RNA
Source: RNAcentral
AGUGAACGCUGGCGGUAGGCCUAACACAUGCAAGUCGAACGGCAGCACAGGAGAGCUUGCUCUCUGGGUGGCGAGUGGCGGACGGGUGAGGAAUACAUCGGAAUCUACUCGGUCGUGGGGGAUAACGUAGGGAAACUUACGCUAAUACCGCAUACGACCUACGGGUGAAAGCAGGGGAUCUUCGGACCUUGCGUGAUUGAAUGAGCCGAUGUCGGAUGAGGUAGUUGGCGGGGGAAAGGCCCACCAAGGCGACGAUCCGGAGCGGGUCUGAGAGGAUGAUCAGCCACACUGGAACUGAGACACGGUCCAGACUCCUACGGGAGGCAGCAGUGGGGAAUAUUGGACAAUGGGCGCAAGCCUGAUCCAGCCAUACCGCGUGGGUGAAGAAGGCCUUCGGGUUGUAAAGCCCUUUUGUUGGGAAAGAAAUCCAGCCGGCUAAUAACCGGUUGGGAUGACGGUACCCAAAGAAUAAGCACCGGCUAACUUCGUGCCAGCCGCCGCGGUAA